Molecule: ribosomal RNA, 450 nt
Filed under: Capnocytophaga sp. oral taxon 338
Lineage: Bacteria; Pseudomonadati; Bacteroidota; Flavobacteriia; Flavobacteriales; Flavobacteriaceae
Description: bacterial SSU rRNA
Rfam family: Bacterial small subunit ribosomal RNA
Source: RNAcentral
GAUGAACGCUAGCGGCAGGCCUAACACAUGCAAGUCGAGGGAGAAGCCCUCCGGGGCAGAAACCGGCGCACGGGUGCGUAACGCGUAUGCAACCUACCUUUCACAGGGGGAUAGCCCGGAGAAAUUUGGAUUAAUAUCCCAUAAUAUUGUUGGAUGGCAUCAUUUGGCAAUUAAAGUUACGAUGGUGGAAGAUGGGCAUGCGUCCUAUUAGCUAGUUGGCGAGGUAACGGCUCGCCAAGGCGACGAUAGGUAGGGGUCCUGAGAGGGAGAUCCCCCACCCUGGUACUGAGACAGGGACCAGACUCCUACGGGAGGCAGCAGUGAGGAAUAUUGGUCAAUGGUCGGAAGACUGAACCAGCCAUGCCGCGUGCAGGAAGGCGGCCUUAUGGGUUGUAAACUGCUUUUAUAUGGGAAGAAUAAAGGGGUACGUGUACUUUGAUGACGGUACCA